This 510-nucleotide ribosomal RNA is filed under the name uncultured bacterium. RNAcentral describes it as "bacterial SSU rRNA". It matches the Rfam family "Bacterial small subunit ribosomal RNA", at positions 29 to 507 of the family's 1533-position model. The record is from RNAcentral.
ACGAACGCUGGCGGCGUGCUUAACACAUGCAAGUCGAACGGAGAUUAUUAAUGAAGCUUGCGAUUUAAUAAUCUUAGUGGCGGACGGGUGAGUAACGCGUGGGCAACUACCCAUAAGCGGGGGAUAACAGUUGGAAACGACUGCUAAUACCGCAUAAGCUAUUGAGGUCGCAUGACCUUAAUAGUAAAGGUGGCAUUUUAAAGAUGCUAUCACUUAUGGAUGGGCCCGCGUCUGAUUAGCUAGUUGGUGGGGUAGCGGCCUACCAAGGCAACGAUCAGUAGCCGGCCUGAGAGGGUGGACGGCCACACUGGGACUGAGACACGGCCCAGACUCCUACGGGAGGCAGCAGUGGGGAAUAUUGCGCAAUGGGGGAAACCCUGACGCAGCGACGCCGCGUGAGCGAAGAAGGCCUUAGGGUCGUAAAGCUCUGUUGUAAGGGACGAAUGUUUAUCUGACGAAUAGUCAGAUAAAGUGACGGUACCUUACCAGCAAGCCCCGGCUAACUACGUG